GAACUGCGAUAAGUAAUGUGAAUUGCAGAAUUCAGUGAAUCAUCGAGUCUUUGAACGCACAUUGCGCCCCCUGGCAUUCCGGGGGGCAUGCCUGUCCGAGCGUCAUUGCUGCCCUUCAAGCCCGGCUUGUGUGUUGGGUCGUCGUCCCCUCCGGGGGACGGGCCCGAAAGGCAGCGGCGGCACCGCGUCCGGUCCUCGAGCGUACGGGGCUUUGUCACCCGCUCGAUAAGGACCGGCCGGGCGCCAGCCGGCGUCUCCAACCUUUUUUUCUCAGGUUGACCUCGGAUCAGGUAGGGAUACCCGCUGAACUUAAGC
This 315-nucleotide unclassified non-coding RNA is filed under the name plant metagenome. RNAcentral's name for it is "partial contains 5.8S ribosomal RNA, internal transcribed spacer 2, and large subunit ribosomal RNA". The stretch from base 1 to 105 matches the Rfam family "5.8S ribosomal RNA", at positions 50 to 154 of the family's 154-position model. The record is from RNAcentral.